This 245-nucleotide ribosomal RNA is filed under the name uncultured Lachnospiraceae bacterium. RNAcentral's name for it is "partial 16S ribosomal RNA". It matches the Rfam family "Bacterial small subunit ribosomal RNA", at positions 524 to 768 of the family's 1533-position model. The record is from RNAcentral. Lineage: Bacteria; Bacillati; Bacillota; Clostridia; Lachnospirales; Lachnospiraceae.
UACGUAGGGGGCAAGCGUUAUCCGGAUUUACUGGGUGUAAAGGGAGCGUAGGUGGCAUGGUAAGUCAGAAGUGAAACCCCAGGGCUCAACCUUGGGAUUGCUUUUGAAACUAUCAGGCUAGAGUGCAGGAGGGGUAAGCGGAAUUCCUGGUGUAGCGGUGAAAUGCGUAGAUAUCAGGAAGAACACCGGUGGCGAAGGCGGCUUACUGGACUGUAACUGACACUGAGGCUCGAAAGCGUGGGGAG